This 775-nucleotide ribosomal RNA is filed under the name uncultured Neocallimastigales. Its description in RNAcentral is "partial large subunit ribosomal RNA". It matches the Rfam family "Eukaryotic large subunit ribosomal RNA", at positions 23 to 634 of the family's 3401-position model. The record is from RNAcentral. Lineage: Eukaryota; Fungi; Neocallimastigomycota; Neocallimastigomycetes; Neocallimastigales.
AGAGAGAGACAUGCGCGCAUAUCAAUAAGCGGAGGAAAAGAAACUAACAAGGAUUCCCUUAGUAACGGCGAGUGAAGCGGGAAGAGCUCAAAUUUGAAAUCUUCAAGGUUUCUACCUUGACGAAUUGUAGUUUAAAGAAGUGUUUUCUGUUGAAGUUUUGGUAAAAGUUCUUUGGAAUAGGACAUCAUAGAGGGUGAGAAUCCCGUAUUUGACCAUUAUUUUCAGCUUUGUGAUACACUUUCAAAGAGUCGGAUUGUUUGGGAAUGCAGUCCAAAAUGGGUGGUAAAUUUCAUCUAAAGCUAAAUAUUGGCGAGAGACCGAUAGCGAACAAGUACCGUGAGGGAAAGAUGAAAAGAACUUUGAAAAGAGAGUUAAACAGUACGUGAAAUUGUCAAAAGGGAAGCGUUUGACACCAGUGUUGUUUUCUCGAAAAUCAAUUAAAAAUGGCUCGAUUUUGUAUUGUUGAGACCUUAAAAGCUCACUGUACAUUUUUCGUGUCUUUUUUAAUGCACUUUUCGUUUAACAAGUCAACAUCAGUUUCUUUUGUUGUAAAAGGGUCAUUGGAAGGUGGCUUUCUUUUCGGAGAAAGUGUUUAUAGCCUUUGGCCUCUGCAAUCGAAGAGACUGAGGUCUGCAGCGUAGACUCUUCGGGGUUAGAUACAUUUGUGCUAAGUUAUAGCUUUUUAUAGACAACUUGUUGACUAUAAUUAGUCUUGUAGCUUACUCGCUUAUGCUAUUUUACCUACGCUUAGGAUGUUGAGUCGUAGAGCACGCAG